CCUACGGGUGGCAGCAGUGGGGAAUAUUGCACAAUGGGGGAAACCCUGAUGCAGCGACGCCGCGUGAGUGAAGAAGUAUUUCGGUAUGUAAAGCUCUAUCAGCAGGGAAGAAAAUGACGGUACCUGACUAAGAAGCCCCGGCUAACUACGUGCCAGCAGCCGCGGUAAUACGUAGGGGGCAAGCGUUAUCCGGAUUUACUGGGUGUAAAGGGAGCGUAGACGGCCAGACAAGUCAGAAGUGAAAGCCCAGGGCUCAACCCUGGGACUGCUUUUGAAACUGCGGGGCUGGAGUGGGCGAGAAGUAUGCGGAAUGCGUGGUGUAGCGGUGAAAUGCAUAGAUAUCACGCAGAACUCCGAUUGCGAAGGCAGCAUACCGGCGCCCAACUGACGCUGAAGCACGAAAGCGUGGGUAUCGAACAGGAUUAGAUACCCGAGUAGUC
Molecule: ribosomal RNA, 440 nt
Filed under: uncultured bacterium
Lineage: Bacteria
Description: partial 16S ribosomal RNA
Rfam family: Bacterial small subunit ribosomal RNA
Source: RNAcentral